UAAAGAAUUUCGGUAUGGGAUGGGGAUGCGUUCCAUUAGUUAGUUGGCGGGGUAACGGCCCACCAAGACAACGAUGGAUAGGGGUUCUGAGAGGAAGGUCCCCCACAUUGGAACUGAGACACGGUCCAAACUCCUACGGGAGGCAGCAGUGAGGAAUAUUGGUCAAUGGACGAGAGUCUGAACCAGCCAAGUAGCGUGAAGGAUGACUGCCCUACGGGUUGUAAACUUCUUUUAUAUGGGAAUAAAAUGUUCCACGUGUGGGAUUUUGUAUGUACCAUAUGAAUAAGGAUCGGCUAACUCCGUGCCAGCAGCCGCGGUAAUACGGAGGAUCCGAGCGUUAUCCGGAUUUAUUGGGUUUAAAGGGAGCGUAGGUGGAUUGUUAAGUCAGUUGUGAAAGUUUGCGGCUCAACCGUAAAAUUGCAGUUGAAACUGGCAGUCUUGAGUACAGUAGAGGUGGGCGGAAUUCGUGGUGUAGCGGUGAAAUGCUUAGAUAUCACGAAGAACUCCGAUUGCGAAGGCAGCUCACUGGACUGCAACUGACACUGAGGCUCGAAAGUGUGGGUAUCAAACAGGAUUAGAUACCCUGGUAGUCCACACAGUAAACGAUGAAUACUCGCUGUUUGCGAUAUACUGCAA
RNAcentral lists this ribosomal RNA (636 nucleotides) under uncultured bacterium. RNAcentral describes it as "bacterial SSU rRNA". It matches the Rfam family "Bacterial small subunit ribosomal RNA", at positions 202 to 842 of the family's 1533-position model. The record is from RNAcentral.